ACAGGGUGAGAGCUUAUUUACAUUUGAAUGUCCUUUUUGUUUAUCCUGCAGUAGUCCGGCAACUGUCAUAUCUAAAUUACAAUGAUUUAGAUCAAAUUACUCCCGCAUUUCAUUUGGUUGCAUUCUCGACAGGGAUGUCUUGUUGCACCAACUCUCUCAAUAGGAUCUAUUCUUCUCCAGCAAGCCGCCAUUUCUGCCUCCUUCCACUACAAGAACGUGGAAAUCGUAGAAUCAAGGCCAAAUGCAAGAGUAAGAUAUAUGACUAGAACUUUAAUUUCCAUGCAGGUCUGUCUGAGGCACAUUUACUUAUAUCCAAAGUUCCAAAAUAACAAUAGUUUCCACACUAAGAGAAAAUUAAAGAUUGCCAGUAGCAUUAUCGGCGUGGGUGAGAUAUUAAUUUAAGUAAAAUCUUACCCAGCGCACAAAAGAAUUGACGAAGACAAAAUCGUCUUUAAUGAUCAGGAUUUUCCAUCACCAGAUGCAACUCAAAUCGCCAACAACCUCUCCAACCUUGGUCAGAUCUACAACAGAGAAGAUAUUUCAACAGACGUGAAAGUAAGUUGACAUUUUAAAUCACAGCAUGUCAGCACCACAUUGAUAUUAAACAUGAGGCCUUUUCUUUAAACUUUAGUUUUUCCUUUCUGCUCAAUAAGCUUACUACAAGACUCGGGUUUCAGGACUUCACAUUAGAUACUUUCAUGAGCAGUGAGUCAACUAGCUUCCUAACAGAGUUAACUAAACCUAAAGGAUAACACCAUAUUAAUUGCAGAAAACAGAAAAGUCAAAGAUAAAUUCAUUGACAGUGGAUUAUAUCAUUACAAGAUUUAACAGAAGAAGAUAUAAUUUGAAACUUCGAAUACUGCUCUAGAGAACAAUAAUUUGUGAUGACUCAUUUUUCAUGUUCCCCUCCCAGGCAAGGGGUCAAGUCCUGGGAGAAGAUGGAGUUCGUGUGCACAGUAUGGUCCUUCCAGGGCUUCCAUCUAGUACAACGGUUUACUUUUCUAGGCCAGGAGAGGUAGUUUUUUUGUUUUCUUUUUUUUUUUUUUAACUUUUUAGAAGUAGAAGAAACCUAGAUUUGAAUAUUUACCUCUGUCUGAUCCCUUAGUGAUGCUGGCCACAGGUAUACUCCAUCAAACAUGAUAUCACAGAUGUGCAGAGUCUCAUGCCCGGCCUGAUCUUGGCUAUAAGAAAGGUCGUGCAUCUUAAGGUAACCAAUCACAUAAUAUUUCAAACAUUCUGCAUCAACUAAUCACAAAAUAAAACAAUUCUUAUUACCUUUUUUUUCUUUUUCCUUUUUUUGGGGCAGAAUCUGGUGUAUGGUUUGGAAAAGUUCUUGUAGGGACCCAAACUGCUCUUUGACAUC
Molecule: long non-coding RNA, 1363 nt
Filed under: Citrus maxima (pomelo)
Lineage: Eukaryota; Viridiplantae; Streptophyta; Magnoliopsida; Sapindales; Rutaceae
Description: long non-coding RNA (CMAX_LNC004011)
Source: RNAcentral